CGAACGGAGAUUACUUCGGUAAUCUUAGUGGCGAACGGGUGAGUAACGCGUGGGCAACCUGCCCUCUAGAUGGGGACAACAUCCCGAAAGGGGUGCUAAUACCGAAUGUGACAGCAAUCUCGCAUGAGGAUGCUGUGAAAGAUGGCCUCUAUUUAUAAGCUAUCGCUAGAGGAUGGGCCUGCGUCUGAUUAGCUAGUUGGUGGGGUAACGGCCUACCAAGGCGAUGAUCAGUAGCCGGUCUGAGAGGAUGAACGGCCACAUUGGGACUGAGACACGGCCCAGACUCCUACGGGAGGCAGCAGUGGGGAAUCUUCCGCAAUGGGCGAAAGCCUGACGGAGCAAUGCCGCGUGAGUGAUGAAGGAAUUCGUUCCGUAAAGCUCUUUUGUUUAUGACGAAUGUGCAGGCUGUGAAUAAUGACUUGUAAUGACGGUAGUAAACGAAUAAGCCACGGCUAACUACGUGCCAGCAGCCGCGGUAAUACGUAGGUGGCGAGCGUUGUCCGGAAUUAUUGGGCGUAAAGAGCAUGUAGGCGGUUUUUUAAGUCUGGAGUGAAAAUGCGGGGCUCAACCCCGUAUGGCUCUGGAUACUGGAAGACUUGAGUGCAGGAGAGGAAAGGGGAAUUCCCAGUGUAGCGGUGAAAUGCGUAGAUAUU
This 653-nucleotide ribosomal RNA is filed under the name uncultured bacterium. RNAcentral's name for it is "bacterial SSU rRNA". It matches the Rfam family "Bacterial small subunit ribosomal RNA", at positions 63 to 698 of the family's 1533-position model. The record is from RNAcentral.